Molecule: ribosomal RNA, 450 nt
Filed under: uncultured bacterium
Lineage: Bacteria
Description: partial 16S ribosomal RNA
Rfam family: Bacterial small subunit ribosomal RNA
Source: RNAcentral
CCUACGGGUGGCUGCAGUGGGGAAUAUUGGACAAUGGGGGCAACCCUGAUCCAGCGACGCCGCGUGUGUGAAGAAGGCCUGCGGGUUGUAAAGCACUUUUAGUGGGGAGGAAGGUCUGCGACCUAACACGUCGUGGAAUUGACUUAACCCACAGAAAAAGCACCGGCUAACUCUGUGCCAGCAGCCGCGGUAAUACAGAGGGUGCAUGCGUUAAUCGGAAUUACUGGAGGCGGUUCGUGAAGUGGCGGUUGAAAGCCCCGGGCUCAACCUGGGAAUUGCAUUCGAGACUGCGAAGCUGGAGUGCGGAAGAGGGAAGUGGAAUUUCCGGUGUAGCGGUGAAAUGCGUAGAUAUCGGAAGGAACAUCAGUGGCGAAAGCGACUUCCUGGUCCAGCACUGACGCUCAGGCACGAAAGCGUGGGGAGCAAACAGGAUUAGAUACCCCAGUAGUC